UCAAUGGAGGGGCUGGGCUGGGGUGAUGACCGGGGAACAUUCAGGGGGUGGCACAGUGCAUAAUGGGGACGCUGCCGGGAUGGCUUAAAAAUGGGCCUCUGCCCUUGGUCACCAAGGGAAGGUGACCCCAGGGUUUUCAAGAGGCCUUUCCUGGCCAGGAUCACCACUAGCCCGCCAUGGACAAACAUGUCCGGAUGUUUUCCUCCAGACCCACAAGUAGAUGUCUCUGGUGUGAGAGGACAUCGGAAACCCUUCCUUGUCAAAGGAACGAAGGUGGCUGGAGGGACCAAGUGUUUAGUGAACACCUACUGAGUGCCAGGCACUGUCUGAUGAAUUUACCUCACCAAUUCAAAACUCCUCACAGCAGUCCUGCAGGGCAGUAAGGACUCUCACCAGUUUUCUAGGCCUGGUUGGGGAGACCCAGAGAAAUUAAGCAUGGACCUUACUGUCAUCACACAGCUAUGAAAUGACAAAACAGAAUUUAAACCCAGAUCUGUCUGCCUGCAAGCCUGUGUUCUUUUUCACUGCCUCUCAAACUGAGAUUUAAAAAAAAAACUCUGGGAGAGCUGGAGGUGAGGGCUCACCUACGAGUUGGGUCUGCUGCCUCCCACUGGGAAGGAAAUGUUUAGUGAUCAUCUACUGUGUGCCAGGAUUUGUGCCAGGCUCUCUCUGUGCUCUCAUGGCCCCUCAGCAGCCCAAGACAGGGGUCUAAGAUCACACACCAUUCCAGAUGAAAACUUGCAGCCCUGGGAAGUGACCUGACUGCCCAGGGACCCAAGGCAAACGAGCAGCAAAGCACAGGCUCGAACUCAGAGCCCAGGAGGGGUGUUCUAAGGCACUGAUGCGGGAGGACCACAGAGCCACCACCAGAACUGCUCUUCUGUCCACCUGUCUCACCAAAGGACUCAUGCAAGGCUGGGGGGUUGCAACAUUUCAUCAGAAUGGAGUCCCGUCCUCCCUAACCAUCCACAGCCACUCAGUGCUCACCCCACACCCAAAUCUCUGGCCCAUGCGUUUAAAGUCCAGGCAUUGCUUCCUUGAUGAAACGCUGGAAAGACCCUCCCCUCUGACCUUGGCGGGGCUGGAGCAGCCUUUGGUCAACUGUGAGGCUGGGCCAGGACUGUUUCCUGCUCCCUCCUACGCCCGGGAUGGGCUGCUGCAGAGGUCUCCUGGGCUCCUACUUCGCAAGACUCCCUCUGCCCUGCCUUGUCCUUAGAGUCCCCAGGUCUGAUUCCUGGCCAGAAGAAGAGGGGGCUCACUGGCCAUAGGUGGCCCCCCUCACAAGCCGGCGGGUACUCAUCCUUCCAUGGAAGGAAGGGGGCAUGGGGCCUCGUCCUGGCAGAAGGUUUUCUCACCAGUUACAGCGUGCCCAUUUGAAUAUGGUCCUGGCAGCUAGGAACCUCUGUGCCCAUAGACUCAGCCAUUUGGGGGAACAGCUGAAGUGAUCCCCAGGAGGGGAACGGUGGGGGACAUCUUGGCCCUCGAUGGAAUAUUCUGCAGCCACGAAACACAAGCACUGUGAAUGCUCAAGAGCCAUGGGGGGGGGGAGGGGGGGAGGAAUGCUUUUUAUGUAAUGCUGAGUUAGAAAAGAGAAGGCAGGAAGCAAAACUGGCUGGGGGCUCUGAUUGCAACGAACUUGGAAAAGGUGCUCAGUACUUCCGCACCGCUUAUGGAAGAAAGCUGGGACGGGAGGAAGGAACGCUGGUUUGGAGUCAGACAUUGCUGGGUUUACGUCUCAACACUGCUUCUUGCAGCCAAGGGAAGUGUCUCCACUGCCUGGAGCUUUGUUUUUCACCUCCACAGUUCUGCAGGUGAAGAUUCAUUUGGAGAAUUAGCCACAACCCCAAAUGGAGAACAUCUGGCCCAGGCCACAGCACACAGCGAGGGCACAGCCAAUGGUCCUUACGUGGAUAGGGGCCGGGCAGGGCCAAUGAAAAAUGCCGUGGGAGUUAGGGUGUGAAGGCAGGGAGAAGGGAGGGAUUUUUCUCAUCCUUGCCAAACUUUCCAUAAUGUGGCUGUGGUGUUUACUGCAGUAAUUUAAGCCAUAAACUUCAGUUUUUCCGUCGACCUCUCUGAACUAGGAUGUUCUGCAGGGCCCCUGGGGUCCAUCCACACUGACAUUUUUUCUCUUUCUUGGAGAAGCCACUUUCCCCGAGCCAAGCUAAAAGCAGACGUUGGUGUACAAUUUGGAGAUUGCUCAUUACUGUUCUUUCACCUUAAGCAUUUUCUAUUUGCAUAAAUAACACAUCCUCUUUAGACACUUUUGCAGUCUGGUCUUUUUGCCUCACGUCAGGGCGCUGGCCUCUGAGGGGGUAGAAACUGUGUUUAUCCCUCACUCCCUGAAGGAAGCUGGAUCAUUUAAUCAAGCCUAAACGAGUCUGUAAACUCCGCUGGUCACUUGGCUAGAUUUUGUCCUAACAUAUAGUUGGUUUUACAGGAAACCUCCCCUUCUGUGUCUCCCCAGCCAGCGUUCAUUUCAACCGCCAGGCCCCUCUGACGGAUUAUCUAUGUAAGGAUUCCCAAGCUGUUUUGCGAAGAAACUCUCGGAUUGAGAGACAAGGCUGGGAAAACAACAGCGAUGGCAGGGGCGAGAAAAAUAAUCACAUCACAGUGGCUUGUGGUCUUUGGUGCUCAGAAGGGCUUUUGAUCUGUGGUCCUAUUUAAUGUUUCCUGGAGUGUUUGCCAGCUGUGGGGACCUUGGGGAGAAUUCGGCCUGUGGGCACUGGAGGAAGCUGCAACCCAGAGCAGCUGAGCGGCUCGCACAAGGCUACGGCAUGCAUGGGGACGCAGGCUCUGUGGUCCCCGAGCUGCCUCUCCUGACGGUUUACACCUGGUACUUCCCUUAGCUCAUUUUUGUCUUCCAAAAAGCUCUCCAGUGGGCCCUUGCUCUUAUCCUUGUGGUUCUGGAGAUGACCCACAGUCUGGCUCUGGGUUCACCCUCCCCACUGCCUUGGGGGCCCCUCCCUGGCAGGCCGUGCUGGCCUGCUCUGCCGAAAGCCCUGCGUGGCUCCCUUUCCUUCAUGUGUCAUUCAAGGUUACGGAGGAAUUCCUAUCAAUCAAGGAAGUUUGGGCUGCAAAUAGGAGAAACCAAGCCAACCCGGCUUAUAAGCAAAAGAGGGCUCUCCUUAUCCUCCUCGGGUGGAAGUAACUGUGACAUUGUGUCCUUUAUCAGAGGUGGCCUGCCCAAACCCCUACUGAACUUCAACUUGGCAGGCCCCUCUCCCUCUUUGGGCCCAUUUCCCCACCCGUAAAAUGGGCCUCUCAGAGAUGAUUUCUGAGGUCUGCUCUAGCUCUAAGAGAGGCAACAGUUGGCAUUUAUCAGGUGCCUGGUAAGUGUCAGGCCUCUGCUGAGCAUGGGGGAAUCAAAGAUGAAAUGGAAAAGCCCCCACCCUCCAGGAUCCAGCACUGGUGUCUUCCUCUCCCUCCUUACCACCUCUCCGCCUCCCCUUUAAGUAUCCAUUAUUUGUCUUAUUUAUUGCAUAUAUUUUAUACACCCAAGGCAAGUGUAUUGAAUGGCUCAUUAAAACCUCAAAACUCCAAAUCUCUAGGACCAGAUCUGAUCCCUUCUCACCACCUUUACAGGUCCUCCCCACCUCCCGAUGUCAGCCAUCAUCAUCUCUGCCUGGAAUAAUCCAGUAGCCUUUGUCCUCCCCAGCUUCCUUGCCCGCCCCCUCGAGCAGUCCCCUCUCCACACAACAGCCUAGCAGUCUCACCUCUCUGCUCUAAACCUCCAGUAAUGUCCCUCUCCCUCGGAGUAAAUUAGUUAAGGAAGAAACAAGCAGCAACCAUGGGAUCUCCUCCCCACCUGCCACCCCCUCGCGGCUCCAGCUCUGCUCUCACUUGCUUCCACCUCCCCUGCUUGCUCACACCCUCCCAGCUGGCUUCCUUGCUGUUUCUCAGCCACGCCAGCACAUUCCCACCUCGGGGUCUUUGCACUUGUCGUUACCCCUGCCUGGAGCGCUCUUCCUGCCUGGAACGAGAUACCCUCGUGGCUCACUCCCUUCGCCUCGACUCAGAAGUCACUCAUCAAAGAGGCCCUCCGUGGAAGUGCUAAUGCUUCGUUCUUCCCUGCUUCUUUGGCUACGUUUUUCUCUGUAAUGCCUCCCACCAGGACCUUGGCUUCAUUUCUUAUACUUUCUUCUGUGGAUCUGUGGCUUCUGUUUGGAGGGGGGCCUCCAGCUUCCCAGCAUGGCUGUCUACCUCCGUGACUGGGGCGUCCCUCCCCACAGGCUUGGGGAGGGGAGCCACGGCUUGCCUGCCUCAUCAUCGCCUCUCCCUCUUCAUUUUCCCCAGUCCUCACUCCCACUAGGCUCAGCAUUAAUGAAAGCCCAGUGACGUGCCCAGAGCACAGUGAACCCUGUGGGUGGGUGUGGGACGACUAGUCCCUGCAGUGGAUUCUCGUUCCCCGGAAGGCUGUUCUUCUCCCACGUCUACAGACCAUUGUGUGCUAGGGGUUGCCUGCAAUUUAUAAGCACUUGCCAUGAAAAUUGUACUCAGCUGCUGUUGUGAAUGAGAAGCAGAGACUCGUGCAGUAAUUACCCACCCCACCAUCUCCCAGGCUUCCAGAGCCUCGCAGGAACUGCCCCUGGGAUGGAGGACAGGUGGGAGGGAUGAAGCUUCCCACCUCAAUACUAAGCCACCUGGGUCUGUGGCCAGCAACCAG
This is a long non-coding RNA of Felis catus (domestic cat), 4663 nucleotides long. RefSeq lists it as uncharacterized. The record is from RefSeq and is a predicted model, not a curated record. Lineage: Eukaryota; Metazoa; Chordata; Mammalia; Carnivora; Felidae. The transcript is spliced from 2 exons.